Molecule: RNA transcript, 2154 nt
Organism: Canis lupus familiaris (dog)
Lineage: Eukaryota; Metazoa; Chordata; Mammalia; Carnivora; Canidae
Gene: IDO2
Gene name: indoleamine 2,3-dioxygenase 2
Exons: 13
Source: RefSeq, a predicted model, not a curated record
AAAGUUUGUGGCAGUCUGGAAUUCAACCUCAGAUCAAGGUUCUCCUCUGUUGCUGAGAAACUACAGAAUUAACUCCAGUGGGAAAAUACUAUUCUGAAGCUCCCUUACCCUGGGUCUUUGAUAAAAUAUUGAAGUAGUGGACACUCAGGAACUCAGACUUUAGUGUAGAUACUUCAAACAAAAUUAUGGAGCCUCCAAGUCAGAAUUUGAAGACAACACCAUUACUAUCUCUAAGAAGAUUUCACAUUUCUGAAGAUUAUGGCUUUCUUCUUCCAAAUCCUCUGAAAGAACUUCCAGAUCAGUUUAGGCCUUGGAUGGAAAUUGCCAAUGAACUCCCUCAUUUGAUUGAGAGUCGCCAGCUUCAAGCUCGAGUGAACAAGGUUGAACAGAUGCUGUAUGAUACUUUGCUGUCAGAGAUGAAAGUUCUAAAUUGGCCAAAGGAGAAGGCUAGAAUCAACCUGUGGUACUGGAUGAGAGUUGGAAACAUGAGCAUGAAGUCAUGUUUAGCAUUAUAUAUAUGCCCCUGCUCAGCUGUCAGGGCCUCAAGAGUUACCGGGAACAGCGCCUGGCUCACUUGGUUCUCAGCUUUAUUACUAUGGGCUACGUGUGGCAGGAAGGACAGACACAACCCAAAGAGUAAACACAGGAAAUUCCCCAUGAGAAAAAGAAAGGAACAUGAGGAAGGAGACAAAAGGAAGGUUCUGCCAAGAAAUCUUGCCCUUCCCUUUGUCGAAGUCUCCAGGAACUUGGGGCUCCCUCCUAUCCUGGCCCACGCAGACCUGGUGCUAACAAACUGGACCACUAGGAAUCCGGAGAGAUCCCUGGAAAUCAGGAACUUGGACAUCAUUGUCUCACUUCCUGGGGGAGAGAGCCUGCGUGGCUUUAUACUGGUGACUGUUUUGGUGGAGAAAGCUGCAGUACCUGGGAUUAUGGCACUUGUUCAGGCUGUGAAUGCCAUCCUGCAGCACAGGGACAACUCCCUGCUCCGAGCCCUGCAGCAACUGAGACUCUCCAUUCAGGACAUCACCAGAACCUUAGGACAAAUGCACAAUUAUGUUGAUCCAGACAUAUUUUAUGCAGUCAUCCGGAUCUUUCUCUCUGGAUGGAAGGAUAACCCAGCAAUGCCUGUGGGGUUGACCUAUGAAGGAGUCUCCACAGAGCCCUUGAAGUACUCUGGAGGGAGUGCAGCUCAGAGCACAGUGCUUCAUGCCUUUGAUGAAUUCUUAGGCAUUUGUCAUAGCAAGGAAAGUGCAGAAGCUUCCUGUCUCUAAACUGGGAGAGAGAUCUGGAGUUUGAAAGCUGUGGCAUCAAGUUACUAACUCUGGAUAUAGCUGGUGAUGGGUCUGAGCUCCUCCACUAAAGCCUUUCCUUGUAAAAUUGCUGCAACCUCAGGCCAAGUCUGUUUCGACUAGAAGAGGAGUCUACCAGCUGACUUUCUGCACAGGAUGAGGGAGUACAUGCCUCCUUCCCAUAAGGCCUUUAUAGAAGAAAUCCAUUCAGCUCCCUCACUGAGAGACCACAUCCUGUCCUCUGGAAAUGACCAACUUCUGACAACCUAUAACGAGUGUGUGGAGGCCCUGGUGGAGCUUCGCAGCUAUCACAUCACUGUGGUGACCAAAUACCUCAUCACAGUGGCCACCAAAGCAAAGGGCAGGAAGCCAAACCAUCUCCCUGGGCCAUCACAAGCCUUAGAAGAGAGGGGCACAGGUGGCACUGUAGUUCUGAGCUUCCUGAAGAGUGUCAGGGACAAGACUUUAGAGGCAAUUCUCCACCAAAGUGAUUAAGAGACUGCCCUCUGCCCAACAAUGCAAAACCAGCAAACUUGGGUGUCCCUUUCCCUCUCUCCCUUUGGAGCGCACAUGGGCCUGAAGAAUAAGAAUGUCUGGAAUAAUCUGAAAGGGAUAUCAGCCUUAUAUAUGUUCCUGCACUGUAGAACACCAUCUCCUCCUGGGUUGAGAGCUGUUUGUCUUCACAGAGGAAAAUUUCUGCAGCCAGAAACGUUCCUUUCCCUGAUUACUGCUUAAUAGCAAACAGCUUUGGACACUUCCUCAUUCAGAAUGCUACAGAGGAGCAAGUGUGCCCCUAUUCUAUUUGCAAAGUGUUAGAAAACCAAUCUAAAUUUCAAAAACCAAAUAAAAUUGCGCGUAGACAGAU